UGCCUCAGACAUGCAAGUCGAACGCGAAAGUCCCCUUCGGGGGAUAAGUAGAGUGGCGCACGGGUGAGUAACACGUAGGUAAUCUACCUUCGGGUGGGGAAUAACCCAGGGAAACUUGGGCUAACACCGCAUAAUGCAGCGGCACCACAUGGUGACAGUUGUUAAAGCGGGGGAUUUUCGGACCUCGCGCCUGAAGAGGAGCCUGCGGCAGAUUAGCUAGUUGGUAGGGUAACGGCUUACUAAGGCGACGAUCUGUAGCCGGCCUGAGAGGGCGGUCGGCCACGCUGACACUGACAUACGGGUCAGACUCCUACGGGAGGCAGCAGUCGGGAAUUUUGGGCAAUGGGCGAAAGCCUGUCCCAGCAACGCCGCGUGAAGGAUGAAGUCCCUCGGGAUGGUUCUUC
Molecule: ribosomal RNA, 404 nt
Filed under: uncultured organism
Description: bacterial SSU rRNA
Rfam family: Bacterial small subunit ribosomal RNA
Source: RNAcentral